Molecule: ribosomal RNA, 390 nt
Filed under: uncultured Pantoea sp.
Lineage: Bacteria; Pseudomonadati; Pseudomonadota; Gammaproteobacteria; Enterobacterales; Erwiniaceae
Description: bacterial SSU rRNA
Rfam family: Bacterial small subunit ribosomal RNA
Source: RNAcentral
UUAGAGUUUGAUCAUGGCUCAGAUUGAACGCUGGCGGCAGGCCUAACACAUGCAAGUCGGACGGUAGCACAGAGGAGCUUGCUCCUCGGGUGACGAGUGGCGGACGGGUGAGUAAUGUCUGGGUGCCCGAUAGAGGGGGAUAACCACUGGAAACGGUGGCUAAUACCGCAUAACGUGAUCCGCAAGACCAAAGAGGGGGACCUUCGGGCCUCUCACUAUCAGAUGAACCCAGAUGGGAUUAGCUAGUAGGCGGGGUAACGGCCCACCUAGGCGACGAUCCCUAGCUGGUCUGAGAGGAUGACCAGCCACACUGGAACUGAGACACGGUCCAGACUCCUACGGGAGGCAGCAGUGGGGAAUAUUUCACAAUGGGCGCAAGCCUGAUGCAGC